CCGACGGUGAGGGACGAAAGCUGGGGGAGCAAACCGGAUUAGAUACCCGGGUAGUCCCAGCCGUAAACGAUGUGCGUUAGGUGUAUCGGUGACCACGAGUCACCGAGGUGCCGAAGAGAAAUCGUGAAACGUACCGCCUGGGAAGUACGGUCGCAAGGCUGAAACUUAAAGGAAUUGGCGGGGGAGCACCACAACAGGUGGAGCCUGCGGUUUAAUCGGACUCAACGCCGGGAAACUCACCAGAUAAGACAGCUGAAUGAUAGUCGGGCUGAAGACUCUACUUGACUAGCUGAGAGGAGGUGCAUGGCCGUCGUCAGUUCAUACUGUGAAGCAUCCUGUUAAGUC
This 345-nucleotide ribosomal RNA is filed under the name uncultured archaeon. RNAcentral's name for it is "bacterial SSU rRNA". It matches the Rfam family "Archaeal small subunit ribosomal RNA", at positions 691 to 1035 of the family's 1478-position model. The record is from RNAcentral.